GAUGAACGCUGGCGGCGUGCCUAAUACAUGCAAGUCGAGCGAACAGAUGAGGAGCUUGCUCCUCUGACGUUAGCGGCGGACGGGUGAGUAACACGUGGAUAACCUACCUAUAAGACUGGGAUAACUUCGGGAAACCGGAGCUAAUACCGGAUAAUAUAUCGAACCGCAUGGUUCAAUAGUGAAAGAUGGUUUUGCUGUCACUUAUAGAUGGAUCCGCGCCGCAUUAGCUAGUUGGUAAGGUAACGGCUUACCAAGGCGACGAUGCGUAGCCGACCUGAGAGGGUGAUCGGCCACACUGGAACUGAGACACGGUCCAGACUCCUACGGGAGGCAGCAGUAGGGAAUCUUCCGCAAUGGGCGAAAGCUUGACGGAGCAACGCCGCGUGAGUGAUGAAGGUCUUCGGAUCGUAAAACUCUGUUAUUAGGGAAGAACAAAUGUGUAAGUAACUAUGCACGUCUUGACGGUACCUAAUCAGAAAGCCACGGCUAACUACGUG
RNAcentral lists this ribosomal RNA (497 nucleotides) under uncultured bacterium. RNAcentral describes it as "partial 16S ribosomal RNA". It matches the Rfam family "Bacterial small subunit ribosomal RNA", at positions 28 to 507 of the family's 1533-position model. The record is from RNAcentral.